CCAGUGUCUAAUGAGACAAGGCCAAAAGUAUGCCACCAAAUCUGCUAAACUUAUUGUGUACUCCCUCUGUCACCCCUCCCCCCUUAACGUAAUUUCUCCCUUGAUUUUCUAAUAGCUCUGACUGGUCCUUUCUUUUAAGUUUGCAAUUUUUUAUUAUAUCUAUUUUUGUAAUAAACGCUUGUUGAACUGAAUUGCUCAAAUCUUAUUUGCCGUAACUAUCACAUGAACGCUGCAGGCUAUUACCCCUUCCAUCAGCAUUUGCGUUACAACUAAGGCCUUUAGUGCCUUAACCCCAAGAUUUAAUGGUAGAAAUUUCUGGUAGGAAAUGAGGGAACAUAUGGGGGUGGGUAGGACUCUCUACCCUUCAAAUCACCCCAAGUGUGAGUAAGGCAGCCAGUGGUCCUGGGCCACAGUCCAGUAAUCAGGACGGGAAAUCAAGGUGAAGAGUUUGGGAGAUUAAAAACAAACUAAACGCCACCUAAACGGUGGGUGGGGUCAAGGGCCUGCAGCUGCCCCCUCCCCCUUCUCCGGUAACCGGGACCCAGAGUUCCGUCGCGGGGUUCCGCCGGGGGCCUGGCCGCGGGGGGAGGGGGGCUGCAACCUCCCAGACGACCCCGGGCCCGGGGGGCGAGCGCUCCACUUCCGGCCGGCCGCGGCCCCUUAAGUUAGUUACCUGCGGCGAAGUGGAGGGGAGUGGACUUCCUGCCCGCCGUGUCGCGGCUGUUCACCUUCUCCGGGGUCACCAACUUUUUGACGCGCUCCACGUCCCCGUUCCGACAAGCCUCGAACAACUCCCGGGCCGCGGGCUCUACGGCCUCCCCCGCCGAGGCCGCGCCCGCGCCGGGUCCUCCCCCGCCAGCGCAACGGCGGCCGGACAUAAUCGCGGCCAGCGGCGGCGGCGGCGACGGCAGGAGGAGGAGGGCGAGGCCCCCGGGAAGAGACGUGCUCAGAGUCCCGGGCUGCUCCGUUCCGCUCCGCCCCGCCGUCACCGGCCCUGGCGCAGGACCAUGGCUCCCCUCCCCCGCAGCGAUCCCCCCGCCGGCCUCGCGCCCAGGCCCCGGACGCCUCGAGCUCCGUCGGCUGCCCCGCCGCGCAGGCAGCGCGAGUCCCCCCGCCCCGCCCCCCGCUCCCUCAGCGGCCGCCGCGACGGUGGCUGCAAAGGCCACUCUGGCUGGCUCUGGGGAGUCCGGGAGGCUCACGGGACGGCCACUGGCCCACGCGUGCGCAGAAAGGGCCGACGCGUCAGGCAGGUUUCGCUCAGAGGGGGGAGGGGCCUACUGGGACAUGACCAGAGGAAGGAGGCUGUUGAGGCGCAGGCGGAGAAGGUCCAGGGCCUGGCUGCCAUGUUGGCUGUAGGGGCCCCUUCCGCCCACCGUGCUCGGUGGAUAGAGAACUAGCCUCAAGCCUCAUGUACUGACUCUGAGUGUUACAGGCCAUCCUAAGACUACAGGAAUCCUAUAGCAACCUCGAGGAGCUUAAAAGGUAAUGGAUAAUAGCUAUCAGAUUAACACUGGGGCUGCUUCAUUUUUGUUUUUGUAUUUCCAGAGC
Molecule: long non-coding RNA, 1548 nt
Filed under: Phascolarctos cinereus (koala)
Lineage: Eukaryota; Metazoa; Chordata; Mammalia; Diprotodontia; Phascolarctidae
Description: lncRNA (ENSPCIG00000031225.1)
Source: RNAcentral